RNAcentral lists this ribosomal RNA (405 nucleotides) under uncultured bacterium. Its description in RNAcentral is "partial 16S ribosomal RNA". It matches the Rfam family "Bacterial small subunit ribosomal RNA", at positions 28 to 526 of the family's 1533-position model. The record is from RNAcentral.
GACGAACGCUGGCGGCGUGCUUAACACAUGCAAGUCGAGCGGAGCGGCGAACGGGUGAGUAACGCGUGAGUAACUGCCCCCCUCUCUGGGAUAACAGUUGGAAACGGCUGCUAAUACCGUAUAGUGGGGUAUGGCUCGCGUCCUAUCAGCUUGUUGGUUGGGUAGUGGCCUACCAAGGCGACGACGGGUAGCCGGCCUGAGAGGGGGACCGGCCACGUUGGGCUGAGUUACGGUCGAAACUCCUACGGGAGGCAGCAGUGUGGAAUAUGGCACAAUUGGUGAAACGCUGAUGCAGCAACGCCGCGUGCGGGAUGUCGUCCUUCGGGUUGUAAACCGCUGUCGGCCAUGACGCGGUAGUGGCAGAAGAAGCACCGGCUUACUACGUGCCAGCAGCCGCGGUAAUUC